RNAcentral lists this transfer RNA (93 nucleotides) under Vibrio parahaemolyticus. RNAcentral describes it as "tRNA-Arg". Lineage: Bacteria; Pseudomonadati; Pseudomonadota; Gammaproteobacteria; Vibrionales; Vibrionaceae. The record is from RNAcentral. RNAcentral also lists the same sequence under 1 other name.
UUAGCUCAGCUGGAUAGAGCACGUCCCUUCUAAGGAUGUGGUCAUUGGUUCUUAUAUUAGGUUAUUUCUGGUGUAAUGAAUCCAUAUGACUGA